CUGAGAUCAGACUUCAAACCACCUCACAAAGUGACAAGUUAAAACGUCCCUCCACUGUGGAUCAGAACAGGUCUCUCCCUGUCUCUGCUGCAAGGAGCUGAAAGGAGAACUAGAAAGACCAGAGUGCAACCUCCCUAAGUCAUGUUCAGCACUGCCUGGCUUAACCAGAGCUGGCCUGGGUUCAUCCAAAAGGAACACUGGGAACUCUUAGUACCAGCUAUGUCUUUUCACAGGAGGUCAAUUUGGUACUCUGCAAUUGAUGCUCUCCCCUUUCUUGGAGACUGUGAUGUGGCAGCAGGACAAGC
Molecule: long non-coding RNA, 305 nt
Filed under: Zonotrichia albicollis (white-throated sparrow)
Lineage: Eukaryota; Metazoa; Chordata; Aves; Passeriformes; Passerellidae
Description: lncRNA (ENSZALG00000011097.1)
Source: RNAcentral